GGAAGAUUGACAGAGCGGCUUAUCGUGCUCCCCUGCUAAGGGAGUGUAGUUCUUAAAGACUACCAUUGGUUCAAAUCCAAUAUCUUCCGCCA
RNAcentral lists this transfer RNA (92 nucleotides) under Flavobacteriales bacterium. RNAcentral describes it as "tRNA-Ser". It matches the Rfam family "tRNA". Rfam says of the family: Transfer RNA (tRNA) molecules are approximately 80 nucleotides in length. Their secondary structure includes four short double-helical elements and three loops (D, anti-codon, and T loops). Further hydrogen bonds mediate the characteristic L-shaped molecular structure. tRNAs have two regions of fundamental functional importance: the anti-codon, which is responsible for specific mRNA codon recognition, and the 3' end, to which the tRNAs corresponding amino acid is attached (by aminoacyl-tRNA synthetases). tRNAs cope with the degeneracy of the genetic code in two manners: having more than one tRNA (with a specific anti-codon) for a particular amino acid; and 'wobble' base-pairing, i.e. permitting non-standard base-pairing at the 3rd anti-codon position. Lineage: Bacteria; Pseudomonadati; Bacteroidota; Flavobacteriia; Flavobacteriales. The record is from RNAcentral.